GGGAAGGUGGCUCAGUGAUAGAGCGCUUGCUUCACAUGCAUGAGGCCCUGAAUUCGAUUCCUCAGCACCCCA
Non-coding RNA from Dipodomys ordii (Ord's kangaroo rat), 72 nucleotides. The record is from Rfam. Lineage: Eukaryota; Metazoa; Chordata; Mammalia; Rodentia; Heteromyidae.